Hemicordylus capensis (graceful crag lizard) is the source of this 808-nucleotide long non-coding RNA. RefSeq lists it as uncharacterized. The transcript has 3 exons. The record is from RefSeq and is a predicted model, not a curated record. Lineage: Eukaryota; Metazoa; Chordata; Lepidosauria; Squamata; Cordylidae.
GGGGCUUCCACGGAGGUCUGGUGUAGGCCUCUGUGAAGCCUGAACUCCAGUAGGGCCCAAGCCAGCCAGGAAGGAGGAGGCAGCCAGAGUGGCCACCACUGGUCUCUGCAGCAGAAGACCCCCUGCUGCCAGCAUGUCUUAAUCAAAGACAGAAAGAGACUUCAGAUCUCCUUUGUUUACUUUUGGCUAUGGCUUUGAGACAUCUGUGGGGAGGCUGAUCGUACGGGCUGGAGUCACAGGAGAUCCCAGUACAGUGACUCAUCACAGGCCAAAGUGGGGCACCCAGCUUUGAACCAUCACAUCCUUCAUGGCCCACCAGAUGUCCCCAGGAAGCUCACAGGCAAGAGAUGAAGGCAUGCCUUCUUUCCUGCGGUUGCUCUCCUGCAACGGAUAUUCAGAGGCAUCCUGUGUUUGAGCCUGGAGGCAGUCUAGGUUUCCAGGCAUGAAAGUUGGCAGACCAAUGCACCAAGGAUGAACAGUUCACACGACCUGGGGAAAAAUAGUCUCACCCCCCACCCCACCCCUCUGCUUUAGUGGGGCAGUCCCUCUGCACAUGUGCUUUCUUUGCUUGCACAGGCAGAGCUUUAGUCAGAAUGUUGGUCAGUAUGAACAGGACUUCUUUUGUUUUUUUAUUCAUGUUGGCAUUUUUUUUGCUGCCACAUAAGAUGGACUUUGCAUUUUGGGUCCAUAUUUCAGCUGCUCUUUUGUUUUGUCGAAACAUAGUGUGAGGUUUGCUCUCUUUGGGAUGCUUCAGGAAUCCCUAGAGCAUGUACCACCUAUGCUGAGUUUCAAUAAUAAAAAUCAAUGA